RNAcentral lists this unclassified non-coding RNA (3351 nucleotides) under Hevea brasiliensis (rubber tree). Lineage: Eukaryota; Viridiplantae; Streptophyta; Magnoliopsida; Malpighiales; Euphorbiaceae. The record is from RNAcentral.
GGGAUACGAAGGAUGAAAAUGUGGUGCGCUGGUAGGUGCGAUUUAGGUAACGCUGGCCUAAACGAAACCCAACCGCAAACAGGCUGUAACACCAAUUCUUUUUGCCUAGCAGCCGCCCCAUCCUCUUUCUGACUGCGUACACAUCUCCUUCCUCAUCCACCGUCGACGGCUUUGAGCUGCCGGACGAUCAGUGCCAAUGUCCUAACAAACCUUAGGCACAUUGAUUUCAGGUCUGCAGAUUUUUCCCUCAAUUUUUUUGUUACUUCCUCUCACUUGUUUCUCGGUCUGACUCGGCUGCUUAUAGUUCCCCCACCCUCUCGAACGGACUCUCAUUAAAGAUCAAGAAGGCGACCGCCGAUCUAACCGCACUGGCGCUGUUUUCAAGUUUGUCUUCUCUCAACUCACGACGAUCUUUCAACUCGCUCUUUUGUUCUUUGUUCCCAUCGAUACCCUUCAUCUCCCUCGGAGAAUCAGCCACUUCCAGUGAAGUUCAUUUGCAAGACUUGAGUUGCUGUCCCACGAGUGACGAGUGAUACUGCUCAAAUUUUUGACAAAGAAAAAAAAAUAUUUGGUUGAUAGAGAAGAGAAAGGGAAAAAGCACCCCUCUCUCUUCUUUCCGAAAGAAAUCAUUGUUCUGUUCGCCAACUCUCCUUGACCUGCUUGAGAUUAGAUCUCUGUUAAAGUUGAAAUCACUAAUUCAAAGGAGUUUAUCUGAUUUUGUUGUUAGAAGAAAAAUUCUAUGGCUACAGUGAAACCUGGUCGCUCCAGAGGAACGCCGGUGAAGGAGAAUGGGACGAAGCUUGAAGAAGGUCUGAAUGUAUUCAAGUCCGAUAAGUUUGAUGCCAAUGCUUAUGUUCAGUCUAAAUGCUCUCUCAAUGACAAGGAAAUAAGACAAUUAUGCUCAUAUCUUUUGGAUUUGAAGAAAGCUUCAGCUGAAGAAAUGCGUAAGAGUGUCUAUGCAAAUUAUGCAGCUUUCAUUCGCACUUCAAAAGAGAUAUCAGAUUUAGAGGGGGAGCUUUCAUCCAUCAGAAAUCUGCUAUCUACUCAGGCUACUUUAAUUCACAGUUUAGCGGAGGGUGUUCAUAUUGAUUCAAUAUCUACCAAAGCUUCGGAAGCCUCUGCAAUAAAUGGCUUGUUAAAUACUGAACAUCGAGAACCUUCUGACUUGGAGAAGUGGUCAGUUGAAUUCCCUGAUCUCCUUGAUGUUUUGUUAGCCGAAAGGAGAGUGGAUGAAGCCAUAGCAGCCCUUGAUGAAGGAGAACAUGUAGCAUCUGAAGCAAAAGAAACAAAAUCAUUGAGUCCUGAUAUACUUGGGUCAUUGCAGAUGGCUCUUAUGGAGCGCCGGCAAAAGUUAGCUGAUCAGCUUGCUGAAGCUGCUUGUCAACCUUCUACCCGUGGAAGUGAACUUCGUGCAGCUAUAUCAGCUCUUAAAAAGCUGGGGGAUGGUCCUCGUGCUCAUAAUUUACUACUCAAUGCUCAUUUCCAGAGAUAUCAGUGCAACAUGCAAAGCCUUCGCCCAUCGAGCACCUCGUAUGGAGGGGCAUAUACUGCUGCACUUUCACAGUUAGUGUUCUCUGCUAUAGCUCAAGCAGCUAGUGAUUCUUUGUCUAUUUUUGGCAAGGAACCAGCUUAUACUUCUGAGCUUGUAAUGUGGGCUACAAAGCAAACAGAGGCCUUUGCUGUUCUAGUUAAAAGACAUGCAUUAACAUCCUCAGCCGCUGCUGGAGGUUUAAGAGCUGCUGCAGAGUGUGUUCAAAUAGCCUUAGGUCAUUGUUCUUUGUUGGAAGCUCGUGGCUUGGCACUUUGUCCUGUGCUCUUAAAACUAUUUAGACCUAGUGUUGAGCAAGCAUUAGAUGCAAAUCUUAAACGAAUUGAAGAGAGCACUGCUGCUUUGGCUGCUGCUGAUGAUUGGAUACUUACUUACCCUCCAAAACAGUCUGGUAGGUCUUCUGUUGCAUCUCUUGGUAACACAGCUGCAUUUCAGCAUAAACUUACAAGCAGUGCCCAUCGGUUCAAUUUGAUGGUCCAGGACUUCUUUGAGGAUGUUGGACCACUUUUAAGCAUGCAGCUGGGAAGUCAAUCACUGGAAGGCUUGUUUCAAGUAUUUAAUUCAUAUGUGAACAUGCUGAUAAAAGCAUUACCAGGUUCAAUAGAAGAAGAAGCAAACUUUGAGGGUUCAGGUAAUAAAAUUGUACGGAUGGCUGAAACUGAAGCCCAGCAGAUUGCAUUGCUAGCCAAUGCAUCAUUAUUGGCUGAUGAACUGCUCCCACGGGCUGCCAUGAAGCUCUCUCCUCUGCACCAAGCGAAUUACAAGGAUGAUCCCCGUAGGAGGACUUCGGAUAGGCAAAAUCGCCAUCCUGAGCAGCGAGAAUGGAGGAAACGGCUUGUGAGUUCAGUUGAUAGAUUAAAAGAUACUUUUUGUCGCCAACAUGCACUUGAUCUCAUUUUUUCAGAAGAUGGUGAUAGUCACCUUAGUGCAGAAAUGUACAUAAACAUGGAUGGAAGUGCAGAUGAGGUAGAAUGGUUUCCAUCUCCAAUAUUCCAGGAACUUUUUCUAAAACUGAACCGAAUGGCUAGCAUAGCAGCAGAUAUGUUUGUAGGAAGGGAAAGAUUUGCUACAUUGCUAUUGAUGAGGCUUACAGAAACAGUUAUAUUAUGGCUUUCAGAAGAUCAAAGCUUUUGGGAUGAUAUUGAAGAAGGCCCAAGGCCUUUGGGUCCUCUUGGUCUUCAACAGUUUUAUUUGGAUAUGAAGUUUGUGAUGUGCUUUGCUUCCCAAGGACGAUACUUGUCAAGGAAUUUGCAUCGAGUUGUCAAUGAGAUCAUUUCUAAGGCUGUGGCAGCAUUUUCUGCUACAGGAAUGGAUCCAGACAGUUUGCUGCCAGAAGAUGACUGGUUUAAUGACAUUUGUCAAGAAGCAGUGGAAAGAUUAAGUGGAAAACCAAAAGCUAUUGACGGAGAUCGGGAACUUAACAGCCCAACUGCCUCUGUCUCUGCUCAAUCCAUUUCAUCUGUCAGAUCUCAUGGAAGUUCCUAAGGAAGGUCCAUUCCCCUUUGUAAAUUAGGAUGUGAAUAUGCUCAUAUGAUUUGGUUUAUUGAUCUCUUGUUCCUUUAAUAUUCUUUUGUAAUUUUAGUGUGUGAUCCAUCUUUCCUGAGGCUUUAGGACCGUAUGAAAUCUUUCUUUGAAGCAUCUUUUGUUGUUGAGUUUCUGUUCGAGUCUGUAAAUGCUGAUUAUUUUUAUUUGAUCCUGAACUCGGUUCUGUACUUACUCCUUGAUAUUGGUUGCUCUUCUUUAUCUUCUUUAUUUCAUCCAAGUGUGAAUGCAGGUGUGAUAUGUUAAUCCGUUGAUUUUCU